AAUAAGUGGGAACAGGGAGGAGAGUUCUGACUCACCGUCGUCGAGAAUGACUAAAAGAGGAGCCAGCAGGUCACACAUUCCCUGUACGUAUCCGAUGUCCAGGUGCCUCCAGAUGUAGCUGUGAAUAUGCAGCACAGAGAGCUGACCUUAACCCCAUGUGACUGCUUCUUACUCUGACUCACACUCUCUCUGCAGAUUUAGAGGCAUUCUGAAGACUACUGCUCUGACACUGGAGGGGGCGCUGUUUUACCUGCACAUGACGUUGCGCAGCUUCUCCAGGGUGCCAUGGAAACCUUGGCCUUGGGGAUCUCCUCCAUCUCUAUGGCUGAAGGAGACUCAUCAGACUCAGACAAAGCCUGGGUCUCGUCUUUCUGAGACGAGCUGUGAACUCCUCCUGAUCUUGAGGCGCCCAGAAUCUGUUCCUGUUCACAUUCCACUUUGUGCUGGCCUGUGUUCCAGGAUUCAGUUUGGCUCCUUUGUCCUUCUCUUCACUCGCCACCUGACGUUCGAUUGUCAACACUUCAGCCUCUUCCACUGCAGCUUUGGCAGAGCUCAGCGACACCGGAGGCGCAGCUGU
Long non-coding RNA from Gambusia affinis (western mosquitofish), 577 nucleotides. RefSeq lists it as uncharacterized. The transcript has 4 exons. The record is from RefSeq and is a predicted model, not a curated record. Lineage: Eukaryota; Metazoa; Chordata; Actinopteri; Cyprinodontiformes; Poeciliidae.